This 233-nucleotide ribosomal RNA is filed under the name uncultured bacterium. RNAcentral's name for it is "partial 16S ribosomal RNA". It matches the Rfam family "Bacterial small subunit ribosomal RNA", at positions 15 to 239 of the family's 1533-position model. The record is from RNAcentral.
GAUCAUGGCUCAGGACGAACGGUGGCGGCGCGCCUAACACAUGCAAGUCGAACGGAGCUAUGUUGAAAGCUUGCUGGAUAUAUAGCUUAGUGGCGGACGGGUGAGUAACACGUGAGCAACCUGCCUUUCAGAGUGGAAUAACGUUUGGAAACGAACGCUAAUACCGCAUAAUGUCAGAGGAUGGCAUCAUUCUUUGACCAAAGAUUUAUCGCUGAAAGAUGGGCUCGCGGCCG